Molecule: long non-coding RNA, 618 nt
Organism: Mastomys coucha (southern multimammate mouse)
Lineage: Eukaryota; Metazoa; Chordata; Mammalia; Rodentia; Muridae
Exons: 4
Source: RefSeq, a predicted model, not a curated record
UGAGUGUACUCCUUUACUUCGGACAAUUUUACAACCAAGAUAAACCCCAGUUUUAGUGGAAUAGAAUUGGAUUCAAGUAAAGAAGCUGUACGUCCCAAAGGGGUUCUGACUUGAUGGGGCAGAAGACAUGGCAUUGGAGAAGUGAUUUGGUGAAACCAUGUGGGUUUAGACACAAUGAUCUCAUACAGCAGGGCACCCACCCAAUAGGCAAUGAUACUCUUGGAUGGGUGGAGUUCAAAGUGCUACAGAACAGAAAAGAAGACAAAAGAGUCAAACAGGGAAAUUGUGUUCUGUCAAGAGGAUGAAAGAAAUUACAUCAUGUCUGAAGAAAAUGGAUGGGCCUGGAGUUUAUUAUGGUACUUCAUGGGAAGACACCAAGGCCUGAAACUAUUGCUGAUGCUAUGAUGUGCUUACAGACAGGAUUGGAUAGCAUGACUCUUCUGAGUGACCCAACCAUCAGCUGACAGAAAGAUGCAGAUACUUACAUACAACCAUUGGACUGAAGUCAAGACCCCUAUGGUUGAAUUAGGGGAAGGAUAGAAGAAGCAAAUGAGGAAGGCGGCCCCAUAGGAAGACCAGCAGUCUCAACUUACCCAUACCCUUGGGAGGUCCCAGACA